GUUUAAAUAGCUUAUAUUAGAGCAAGAUAUUGAAGAUAUCUAGGAAGUAGGUUUACUUUUAAACA
This 65-nucleotide transfer RNA is filed under the name Eophileurus chinensis. RNAcentral describes it as "tRNA-Phe". Lineage: Eukaryota; Metazoa; Arthropoda; Insecta; Coleoptera; Scarabaeidae. The record is from RNAcentral.